This 69-nucleotide transfer RNA is filed under the name Urocitellus parryii (Arctic ground squirrel). RNAcentral describes it as "Spermophilus parryii (Arctic ground squirrel) tRNA". It matches the Rfam family "tRNA". From Rfam's summary of the family: Transfer RNA (tRNA) molecules are approximately 80 nucleotides in length. Their secondary structure includes four short double-helical elements and three loops (D, anti-codon, and T loops). Further hydrogen bonds mediate the characteristic L-shaped molecular structure. tRNAs have two regions of fundamental functional importance: the anti-codon, which is responsible for specific mRNA codon recognition, and the 3' end, to which the tRNAs corresponding amino acid is attached (by aminoacyl-tRNA synthetases). tRNAs cope with the degeneracy of the genetic code in two manners: having more than one tRNA (with a specific anti-codon) for a particular amino acid; and 'wobble' base-pairing, i.e. permitting non-standard base-pairing at the 3rd anti-codon position. The record is from Rfam by way of RNAcentral. RNAcentral also lists the same sequence under 2 other names. Lineage: Eukaryota; Metazoa; Chordata; Mammalia; Rodentia; Sciuridae.
GGGGUUGUGGCUCCGUGGUAGAGCACUCGCCUGGCACGUGUGAGGCACUGAGUUUGAUCCUCAGCACCA